AUUGAACGCUGGCGGCAUGCUUUACACAUGCAAGUCGAACGGUAACAGGCCGCAAGGUGCUGACGAGUGGCGAACGGGUGAGUAAUGCAUCGGAACGUGCCCAGUCGUGGGGGAUAACGCAGCGAAAGCUGUGCUAAUACCGCAUACGAUCUAUGGAUGAAAGCGGGGGACCGUAAGGCCUCGCGCGAUUGGAGCGGCCGAUGUCAGAUUAGCUAGUUGGUGGGGUAAAGGCCCACCAAGGCGACGAUCUGUAGCUGGUCUGAGAGGACGACCAGCCACACUGGGACUGAGACACGGCCCAGACUCCUACGGGAGGCAGCAGUGGGGAAUUUUGGACAAUGGGCGCAAGCCUGAUCCAGCAAUGCCACGUGCAGGAAGAAGGCCUUCGGGUUGUAAACUGCUUUUGUACGGAACGAAACGGCCUGGGUUAAUACCCUGGGCUAAUGACGGUACCGUAAGAAUAAGCACCGGCUAACUACGUGCCAGCAGCCGCCGUAA
RNAcentral lists this ribosomal RNA (498 nucleotides) under uncultured bacterium. Its description in RNAcentral is "partial 16S ribosomal RNA". It matches the Rfam family "Bacterial small subunit ribosomal RNA", at positions 30 to 523 of the family's 1533-position model. The record is from RNAcentral.